Long non-coding RNA from Hyla sarda, 688 nucleotides. RefSeq lists it as uncharacterized. The transcript has 4 exons. Lineage: Eukaryota; Metazoa; Chordata; Amphibia; Anura; Hylidae. The record is from RefSeq and is a predicted model, not a curated record.
UUUGUAUUUUUUUUGGUUUUGUACUUUAUUACUUAUGUGCAUAUAUUUUUUGGAUUGUUUACACUAUGCAUUUGCACUUUAUUUAAUGAUUGGUUUUGCACAUUAAUUGGUACCAUUUGUAAUUGGUGCCUCUAUAAAGAUAUGGUUAGCACUGGUUGUGUGAUGCUUGAGAAAGGUCAGGUUGAGCUGACUGAAACGUCGCUGUUGUAAUGACACCUUUUAUGGAAUAAAAACACAUAUUUUUUCAUGAACUUUGGUGCUGUGGACAAGAUUUUUCUUCUGUUUGAACGAUGAUCCCCUAACCAAGGAUCCAGGAGCUGCGUGCACCCCCUUACGAUUAUUAUUUUUUCUUCAAUUUGGCUGUGCUGUUCUUCUUCUAUUACUGGAUUGCGGUUUAUGAGCGAGCACCCAGCUUCGAUCAAGAUGGAAACUACGCAUGAUCCUUCUACUGCCAGUUCUGUAAUACAGGCAGUUUGAAGUUACAACCAUUGGGCCUGAGAAAUAAGACAGACUAAUCUAAAGGAUAAACUGGUGAAGGCGGAUAUAUCACAGAGACAAGUGGGCACUCAGAGGUGGACUUUGGGAUAUACUGAACACUCACCUGAUGACUAUAAUAAUUGUUAUAGUUUUAUUAAUAAAACAUUGUAGAUUGACUAUUGAUGUGAGUUUCUUGAGUCUCUUAUGUGGC